This 1124-nucleotide long non-coding RNA is filed under the name Olea europaea subsp. europaea. The record is from RNAcentral. Lineage: Eukaryota; Viridiplantae; Streptophyta; Magnoliopsida; Lamiales; Oleaceae.
CACAAACAUAGUUUCUCUUUUCCUGUAAUUAAGAUGCAAUAUUUAGUGUCAGAAACAACAAUAAACUCAAAGAUUCCAAAGUAAUCGAGAAUUACCCGACUAAUCAACGGUAUGCACGAUGUCCUCAGCGGUGAAUUUGUUGCCUAUGUCUUUAUCCGCGACGGCGCGUCCCUUGGUCUUGCGGUCGAAAAGCCACUUAUGUUGAAACAAAUUGCCUCGACAUUCAAUUUGUAGACAACACGAAAAUGGUGGUCUCGAUUUUUUCAGAUUCUCAAAAUUUUCGAAGACCAAUUUUGGAGGGUUGCGGAGAGAUUUCAAAAUUGGAUUGGCCGUAAUAGAAGUGUAAAUAGACUUUUAAGAAAAUGGGUAUAUUUUAAUGUCAAUACUUGCUUCUACCCCGGUUGGACGAAAUUUGUAAAAGGAUAAAUAAGAGAGUCCAUUGCUGUUAAGUGUGUUCGAAGAAGAAGGAUGAAGUAGAAGAAAAUUAGAGGACAUAGGAGAGAGUUGAAUGCUGCCAAGCUUUGUAAGAGAAGGAAAUGUGUGAGAGAGGGAAAUGUGUGAGAGACUGGUCCAUAAAAAAAUCCCUCAUUAAUCCAAUCGAGAUAGAGUGGGGGCGAUUCUUUCACCAUUUGGAGUGUUAGUUUGCCUACUAAUUUAUCACCUCUCUCAAUUCAAAUUUGACACAAAUACCUUCAAGUGAGCAACAGUCAUUGUGACACUAACGUAAUCUAUGCUCAGACACAGACAUAAACUAAACUCCAACAACGACCCAUGUAUCUCCAGUUUGUGAACUCAGCCAAUACAAAGAUACUUGUUUGCACCCAAUUUUUCCAUAUUCAAAUAUGCGAUUUCUUCUGACAAAAGGAACAUUUUGUUUUUUUUUAUUUUUUGUCAUCAGAAAUAAGCCUCAUCGGUCCAACAUUUGAAGCCCCCUUCCAAAUUGCCAAUUUUCUACAUUUGAAAUCAACCUACUUGCUAUUAGAACCAUUCCAAAAUACAAAUUAGGCCAUUAGAUUUACAGCUAUUCUGCAAUUUUCAAAAUGGUUAAGUAGAAAGCUAAUUUAAUAUACACCAAAUGCACAUAAGGUAAAACAAACUUAAUAUUGUCAAAAUCUUGAUUCAAC